RNAcentral lists this long non-coding RNA (1105 nucleotides) under Zea mays. Its description in RNAcentral is "long non-coding RNA NONZMAT002630". Lineage: Eukaryota; Viridiplantae; Streptophyta; Magnoliopsida; Poales; Poaceae. The record is from RNAcentral.
UCGAGUCGGAUUCGGACUAGGCCAAACUUGUGUCGGAUUUUGGGCCGCCUAGUAAACAAGACCCAAGUAAACAUCUACAGGGAAGGGGAAGAAGCAGCAUCAGUCUUAUUGGCUGGCUUAAGCCAGCCGACCAGGAACUAGGUUUAUAUAGAAGAUAUAACUAUUCCAUACGUUACGUUAUAUAGAUUGUUUGGUUUUAUUUUACCCUCCACUGCUGUGCAUACGAUUUAUUUUUUAGUUGAAUUAAUAUAUAUUCACCAUAUAUAUGCAUACACCUCUCCAGUUUCGUCCGGCCGCUGACACGUGUGACUGUGUAAGGUUACAUCCACAACAGUACUAUAUAGUAUUUUCGACGGCCUCGGUUAUCACGACCAGUCCCACACACCAGUGACCAUCUAUAGCUACCUCUACGGACAAAUGAGAAUCUUAAUCUAUAUAAAUACCAGUCAUAGAUCCCGUCGGGUUUGCAUACACAUUAGAAUCUUAAUAUAUGGAAUACCAAAGUCAAUUUGAUGAUCAGCAUCCUGUGAAAGGAUUUUCGUAUUAUAAAGGGAAGAAUAUAGUUUUAAAAAGGGAAGAAUUUAUAGGAUCAUAAAACUUUAUCCUUCCUAGUACUUUAAAUGUCUUUCUUUUUGGUAUUUGAUUCUAAAGUUUAAUUUAUAGAAUCAAAAGCAAGUUCAACCUUGAGCAAUUUAUGUUCCAUGAUAGCUUAACAAAUCACGCACCAAACAAAAUGACUCAAACGCAAAAAAAAGAGAGUAAAUAUUCUUGUUUAAAAAAAGGAUCUUGUUGGAAAUACUGAAAACAAUGUAAGGUUAAUUGGCCCGAACAAGCCGGCAUAUUGCAGCCUAGCACCCACGCCACGCACCGCGGCAAUCUGACCUGUCUUCAAUGGCAAUCAUGGCGGGAAGCGGCGGAGCAACCUUGGAAACAUCGUCCACUGUUCCACAACGUUGCAGAUUAUCCGCCGAACUCCUACGGGUAUUGACUCGGCGGUGGGUAGUAAGACGGCGUCCUGGCCGCGCCGUCGACCUCGAAGUACCGUGUCCCCGGCGGAGGGUAAUACGAGCCGACGGGAGGCGCCGGAUAGUACGGUAGCGCACGG